CAGUCGCCGCGGGAAUACGGAGGGGGCUAGCGUUGUUCGGAAUUACUGGGCGUAAAGCGCACGUAGGCGGCUUUGUAAGUUAGAGGUGAAAGCCUGGAGCUCAACUCCAGAAUUGCCUUUAAGACUGCAUCGCUUGAACGUCGGAGAGGUGAGUGGAAUUCCGAGUGUAGAGGUGAAAUUCGUAGAUAUUCGGAAGAACACCAGUGGCGAAGGCGGCUCACUGGACGACUGUUGACGCUGAGGUACGAAAGCGUGGGGAGCAAACAGGAUUAGAGACCCCUGUAGUCCCUGUCUCUUAUAC
This 301-nucleotide ribosomal RNA is filed under the name uncultured bacterium. RNAcentral describes it as "partial 16S ribosomal RNA". It matches the Rfam family "Bacterial small subunit ribosomal RNA", at positions 509 to 807 of the family's 1533-position model. The record is from RNAcentral.